Molecule: ribosomal RNA, 407 nt
Filed under: uncultured bacterium
Lineage: Bacteria
Description: partial 16S ribosomal RNA
Rfam family: Bacterial small subunit ribosomal RNA
Source: RNAcentral
AUUGAACGCUGGCGGCAGGCCUAACACAUGCAAGUCGAGCGGAGCGGCGGACGGGUGAGUAAUGCCUAGGAAUCUGCCUGGUAGUGGGGGAUAACGUCCGGAAACGGGCGCUAAUACCGCAUACUAUCAGAUGAGCCUAGGUCGGAUUAGCUAGUUGGUGGGGUAAAGGCCUACCAAGGCGACGAUCCGUAACUGGUCUGAGAGGAUGAUCAGUCACACUGGAACUGCGACACGGUCCAGGCUCCGACGGGAGGCAGCAGUGGGGAAUAUUGGACAAUGGGCGAAAGCCUGAUCGAGCCAGGCCGCGGGAGGGAAGAAGGUCUUCGGAUUGUAAAGAACUUUAAGUUGGGAGGCGUUACCGACGGAAGAGGCAACGGCUAACUUCGUGCCAGCAGCCGCGGUAAUUC